AGCGGAUCCAGCCUCCCAGACGCUCGCUGCCCUCCACCAGGACCACCUGGGGACGAGACGGAGCCACUGCAGCACCGCCUACAGCCGUGGGAUACCUCAAACUCAGCAUUUCCUCCUCAUCCUUCAGACCGGUUUCUUCAUUGCAUCAAUCUCAGUGAAUAUGAAUACAUGCAGCAGGAGAGCUGCUGGCUUUUGAAACAGACAGAGACCACUGCAAGGAAGACAAACUUCUUCUCCGUCCACAGAAGGGAGAUUAGCAGAGAAGAUGUCUCGCUCCUGUAUGCUCAGCUCCUCAACUCUCAACUCUCUGCAACCAAGACCUACUUGAAUUUUCAACUAUAACGUGUCUCUCUCCCUCAGGAAGAGCGAAGGAGGGAGCAGAGAGAUGCAGACCGCGACUUAGGGCCCCAGAAAUUCCUUCUGACCACCUCCCCUACAUCCAGGAGAGCGAACACCUGGAGCCAGAGGGACACGUCACCUUCUGUGGAGGCAUAUCCCUCGAAUAACUGCUGCUUUCAGCCAGCAAUUCUGGCCCCACUGUGACUUCUAAACUGAGUCUCUUCUGCCACCUCCCUACCAUUCCCCGCUCAGUCCCCCAGCCCCGCAAUCGUCCAGUUUCUAUAAUUUGUGGAGAUAAACUUUAAAACCGGAAGCGGCUUCCACACGGAGCCUAUUCCUAAGGACACCUGAUUACCCCCAAAACUUCUGAGACGCAGUCGGGCGCGGAAGCACAACUGACCCGGAUAAGAGACUGAUAUUCCUCCUUGAGUCGCUGCACCCACAACUCCCGAUCUCGAGGUCCGGCGUUAGUCUUCAGCACCGGGAUCUCCGACACGACACGCCGGGUAGCCUCGUCCGCCAUCUUGGACGAGGGCGUAAGAG
This is a long non-coding RNA of Diceros bicornis minor, 882 nucleotides long. RefSeq lists it as uncharacterized. The record is from RefSeq and is a predicted model, not a curated record. The transcript is spliced from 3 exons. NCBI's taxonomy places the organism in Eukaryota, Metazoa, Chordata, Mammalia, Perissodactyla, Rhinocerotidae.